Molecule: long non-coding RNA, 313 nt
Filed under: Mytilus galloprovincialis (Mediterranean mussel)
Lineage: Eukaryota; Metazoa; Mollusca; Bivalvia; Mytilida; Mytilidae
Source: RNAcentral
GAUGGAUUUACAACAGAAUUUUAUAAAUUUUUUUGGAUAGACCUCCAUGAGUUUAUUAUAAAAUCUUUUAAUUAUAGCUUAGAAACUGGAUCUUUUUCGGUUAGUCAGAAACAAGGAGUAAUAACAUGCAUUCCAAAAGAGGGUAAAUCAAAAUUUCAAUUAAAAAACUGGAGACCUAUCACUUUAUUAAAUGUUGAUACAAAAAUUGCAUCAGCUGCAUUAGCAAAUAGAAUAAAACCUUUUCUUGGGGAUAUAAUUAGUGAAACACAGCAAGGUUUCAUAAAGGGGAGGUAUAUUGGAGAAUGUACCAGGC